CAAANCUUAAUCNANCCACUAAUUAAUCCCAACAUUACUUAAGAACCCUUACAUAGUACUGAGUAAUUCUAUAUCACUAUAGAAGACUUUAUGUUAAAACUAGUAAUAAGAAGAAGAACUUCUCUUACAUGCAAGUGUAAAUCAGAUAGGACACUCCACUGAUAAUUAACACCAAUGAACAAAAAGUAGUAACUCAACAAGAAAACUCUACUACAUUUUAUGUUAAUCUAACACCAGAGCAUUACAAGAAAGAUUAAAAGAAAGAGAAGGAACUCGGCAAAUAUUAACCUCGCCUGUUUACCAAAAACAUCGCCUCUUGAAAUAAAUAUAAGAGGUCCAGCCUGCCCAGUGACUCUGUUCAACGGCCGCGGU
Molecule: ribosomal RNA, 372 nt
Filed under: Centrolene geckoideum (Pacific giant glass frog)
Lineage: Eukaryota; Metazoa; Chordata; Amphibia; Anura; Centrolenidae
Description: partial 16S ribosomal RNA
Source: RNAcentral